AAAGAAAAAACCAUCAGAGGAAAACAGACACAGGUUUAAGAAACCAGCGAUGACCCGGAGUUUUCUGUAGGGAAUUUCCCGAAGACUGCUCUGUUUCGCUGGAUCCUGGUCACCUACCUCAGCAGUAGGGCGACAGGUGUCCUUAUAAGGGCCCACAGAGAAGACACAGAAGAGGGGAGAAAGGAAAAUGGCCGCAGAGGAAGAGACUGGGUACACACACCCACAAGCCAAAGGACAUCUGGAGGCACCAGAACCUGGAAGGCACAAAGAAAGAUUUCCCUAAAGCUGAGGCUCUGAGCUUCCCCUUCAGAAGGAGGAUGUGUACAGGUGUGAAUGGAAUGUACGAAAUGCCAAAAUAAGUAGAGAUCAACAGGUUGUAUUAACAGUACCAAAGUCAACCCUUAUCAAGCCCUUACUACUUGCCCUGUGUUAUUGCCAAUGCUCUAAAUGUACUUGCCUAACAAAACACCCAGGAGGCAGGGAAUGCUGUUAAAACACUGGGGCACGGAGAGAGCGUCAGCAACUUGUCCCAGGUUACAUAGCUAGAAAGUGAGAGCUGGGAUUCAAUCCCAGGUAAUCUGGCUCCAGAAAGCCUGUUGGGGACGAAGAAUUUCCUCUGCCUUUCAAGAUCCUUCUAGCUGGACUAAAUCCAAUUGACAUAAAACAGAUUAGUAGGAGAGAGUCAGAUUUCAGGGCUACGCAUGGGGAAUCCACUUGACCAUGACAAUUGCAAAGACAGUGGGGCAACAGGACCCUUAUAGGAGCUACAGAGGGGGGUGGGGGUCUGAAGCUACAAAGGGAGGAAGACCAUUAGCAGGAAGGUAGGAGAUGUUUGUUAAACAAAGGUUGCCCUCUCAUGCAGAUACAUUUCUUGUGUAAACAGGAAUUUCUGUUAAUAGCUCUCUUCCUGGUCCAAGCUGCGCCCUGGAGGGGGAAGUGAAGAGCUGUUCUUGAAUCUGCUGGGUUUUAAUUGGCAUGAACAUUUCUUUGCAUUAAAAGCAAAGCGGCCCAUCCUGGGGCAGUCUGCCCUGGGCCCCUACAACCCGCACUCCUAGCCUCUAGCUCAGAUUAUCACUAAUGAUUAGCACUCUGUUGUGGACAUUCAGCUGGUGCCUUGGAGCUAACUUAUUUCAUUUACUACGGAACAAGGAAUUCUCAAGGUGAUUAUUCCCAAUUAUCAUUUCCAUGGAAUGUGUCAAGAAACAGAAAGAUUGAACAACUUGCCCAAGUCUCAUCACUAAUUGGUGUUAGGACUGGAACUGGGACAUUGACUUGGUUCCUAACUCCCUCCUCUCUUGUGUUCUUAGAUAUUGAUAAUUGUUGAAGCUGAUCCAAAGGGUUUAUUUUACUAUUUACUCUAUUUCUGUGUAUUUGAAAGUUGCCUUUAAAACAACCCCAAAACCCCAAACCCCAACUACGCCCUUCGUCACGGUGUUGUCCCAACCCUGCAGGUUCCUGUGUGUUUCCUUGAUGGUUGGGAAGGGGAAGGGAGAAGAGGUUGGAUUUGGGUCAGCAAAAUUUCCCAAACUUUUCAACCGUAAACCAAUUACUUUUUCUCCUUCUCCUCCCUCUUUUUCUUCUACGAGACGGGAUUCUCACUUUCUGGGAGGAUGCUCAGCUGUCUGAGACUUGCCUCCUGGUGGCUCUUGUCCUGGGCUUGGUAUCAACAGGAAGUUGGAGACGUGGUGGAGAUGGGUCCCAGGCAGUGAGAAGUGCUCACAAGGCCCCAGGCGCUGUCCAACCCAGCACCGAAGAAACCUCUCUGAGUGUUGAUUGGACUGGGUUGUACAGACAGACCCGAGGGGGUUGGGGAAAGGGCCCAUGCAGCUGUUUCUAGGUCGCUGCAGAAGACAGAAGGAGAUUAUGCCAGGUCGGGCUGGGACCUGAAAUUUCCCCUAUUUCUUACAUAAUCUAUCUUUGUUCCAUACCUUUCCUUUUGCAAGGUACUUUCCCACAUAACAGUUCCCUUCAUCUUCAGGACACUCACGUAAGGUGGGCCACGGGGCUAUCACUCCCCUCAUUUUAUGGCGCUGAGGGACUGUCAAAGUCACACGGGGGAGAACGUCACACAAGCCCAAUUCAUCUGUGCCCUUGCUGCUCUGUCACGCAGCAUUGCCAGGGUUUGGCCUCAUUACUUUUGGGGGAUCUACUUGGUCUAGAAAAUGUGGGUGCAGCCCAAGGUCAUGUGGGCAUGUCAGGAGGUGGCCACAUAAGCCACGGGAUGCUGGAUAUGAAAUCCCCCCCCCCGCCCCCCACCUCGUUGAAACAGAUGGGCCCUUCCCGCAGGCUCUGGUUUAGGUAGCAAGAGGCUAGAAUCAUAAGCAAGGGGUAGUUGGAUGUGGAGGAGGGAGCCAUAGCCAGGGAGGGACAGAGAAUAACAGACCCGGGAGAGGAUUCCAGGGCCUUUUGGAUCCUGACCGGGUUUAUCAGGCCUGUCCCGAGUCUGAGCCCUGACUCCCCAAGGGGCCGCUGGGAGUUGGGCGCGCCAGGCCUCCGGGCUGACUCACUGCCUGGCGGCCGGUCUUGGAUCCUCUCCCUCCCACAUUCCCUCAGCCACUGCCCCUGUACUGGUGUUUACUCCUGGCUUUAUUUACCGAGGCUUAACCUCCUCGUUAGCCUCUUGCGUUAUCAGUUAUCACCGGGGGUUUUGCUAUGAGUGAUAACUACCUGCUCUGGUUCUUUGCUUCAGGAUUUUCUUUAAAAAAUGUUUUUUUGAAAAGAAAGUCGUUGGGAUGUUUACAAAAAAAACAAAGAGAAGGCAGGGUCCUGUCCUCUAGGCUUGGAGAGCGGUGGCCACCCAUCCCGCUCCUCCCCCGGAAAAGCCGGAAAAGCUUUUCCGUUCUGCAGGUGCAGCAGCCCUGGGUACCAAGGGCUGUUUAUCCCUCUGUUCUCCGCAGGGGCCACCCUCCCAGGAUUUCAAAGCACUUCCGGUGUCUCAGUUCUCAUGUUUGCCCCGGUGGAUGGAUCCCUGCUUUUCAGGUAUCAACUAUAAAUGUAAAGCCAGGGAGGUGUCUGACUGGCUCAGUCGGUAGAGCAUGUGACUCUUGAUCUCAGGGUUGUGAGUUCAAGCCCCACGUGGGGCAUGGAGGUCACUAAAAAUAAAUAA
Long non-coding RNA from Mustela lutreola (European mink), 3106 nucleotides. RefSeq lists it as uncharacterized. The record is from RefSeq and is a predicted model, not a curated record. The transcript is spliced from 3 exons. NCBI's taxonomy places the organism in Eukaryota, Metazoa, Chordata, Mammalia, Carnivora, Mustelidae.